AGCCCGUUAAAGGGUGGUGGCGUACUUUUUGUAGAACGGUCCGGCGAGUUAUAGUCACUAGCGAGCUUAAGGUAUUCAGUACCGGAGGCGUAGGGAAACCGAGUCUGAACAGGGCGUAUGAAGUUAGUGGCCAUAGACCCGAAACCAUGUGACCUAGCCAUGAGCAGGAUGAAGUGGAGGUAAAGCUCCAUGGAGGUCCGAACGCACGUUCGUUGCAAUGACCGGCGAUGACUUGUGGCUAGCGGUGAAAUUCCAAUCGAACUUGGAGAUAGCUGGUUCUCCCCGAAAUAGCUUUAGGGCUAGCGUUGGGAAUGAGUUUAGCGGAGGUAAAGCACUGAAUGAGCUAGGGGGCGCAAGCUUACUGAACUCUAUCAAACUAAGAAUGCCGCAUAAAUGCUUCCCAGCAGUCAGACUGCGAGUAAUAAAAUCCGUGGUCAAAAGGGUAACAGCCCAGACCCACAGCUAAGGUCCCCAAUACAUGCUAAGUGGAAAACGAUGUGAGAUUGCAUAAACAACCAGGAUGUUGGCUUAGAGGCAGCCACUCGUUCAAAGAGUGCGUAAUAGCUCACUGGUCGAGUGAUCUUGCGCGGAAAAUUUAACGGGGCUAAGCGUAUAACCGAAGCUUGGGAAUGUCGAAAGACAUUGGUAGGGGAGCGUCGUGUAUGGGGUGAAGUCGCAUCGGAAGGAGCGGUGGACUGUACACGAGUGAGAAUGCCGGAAUGAGUAGCGAGAAUUAUGUGGGAAUCAUAAUGGCCGAAAAUCUAAGGUUUCUUGGGGAAGGUUCGUCCGCCCAAGGUAAGCCGGGAGCUAAGGCGAGGCCGAAAGGCGUAGUCGAUGCACAUACGGUUGAAAUUCCGUAGCCACCUUAUCGUUAAAAGCUGACACAUAGAGAUAGCCGAACCCGGGCGUUGGUUGACCCGGGCGAAAGGGACCGAACUACAGUAGGGAAGUCGGCGAUGCUCUGUGGCGAGAAAAGGCGAAGAUAGGGUGCCCGUACCGCAAACCGACACAGGUAGAUGAGGAGAGAAUCCUAAGGCCAACGGGAGAAGGGUUGUUAAGGAACUCGGCAAAUUGACCCCGUAACUUCGGGAUAAGGGGAGCCUCCUACGGGAGGCCGCAGUGAAUAGGCCCAAGCAACUGUUUACCAAAAACACAGGUCUCUGCUAAAUCGAAAGAUGACGUAUAGGGGCUGACGCCUGCCCGGUGCUGGAAGGUUAAGAGGAGAGCUUAGCGCAAGCGAAGGCUUGAAUUUAAGCCCCAGUAAACGGCGGCCGUAACUAUAACGGUCCUAAGGUAGCGAAAUUCCUUGUCAGGUAAGUUCUGACCCGCACGAAUGGCGUAACGAUUUGGGCGCUGUCUCAACAGCCUACCCGGCGAAAUUGUAGUACCGGUGAAGAUGCCGGUUACCCGCAACUAGACGGAAAGACCCCAUGGAGCUUUACUGCAGCUUAAUACUGAGAUUCGGUAAUUCAUGUACAGGAUAGGUGGGAGACUUAGAAACAGGGUCGUCAGGCACUGCGGAGUCACCCUUGGGAUACCACCCUUGGAUUGCUGGGUUUCUAACCUGCGGCCAUGAAUCUGGUCGGGGGACACUGUUAGGCGGGCAGUUUGACUGGGGCGGUCGCCUCCUAAAAAGUAGCGGAGGCGCUCAAAGCUUGGCUCAGCAUGGAUGGAAAUCAUGCAAUGAGUGUAAACGUAUAAGCCAAGUUGACUGCGAGACCGACGGGUCGAGCAGGUACGAAAGUAGGAGUUAGUGAUCCGGUGGUAUGUGAGUGGAAAUGCCAUCGCUCAACGGAUAAAA
RNAcentral lists this ribosomal RNA (1801 nucleotides) under human metagenome. RNAcentral's name for it is "bacterial LSU rRNA". It matches the Rfam family "Bacterial large subunit ribosomal RNA", at positions 578 to 2461 of the family's 2925-position model. The record is from RNAcentral.